CAGACAGAGAUAAGAAAAGCUAAUCCUCCACAUUCAGAGAUGGCAAACUCCACAGAAGCACAGAAGCCCCAAAAUACCAAGAAAAAUAAGAAGAAAGGGGCGACUUUGGACACAUUCUAUGGAGCCAAAAUACAAAAUACAGAAGAGAUAGAUGAUAUACAAGAAAAUGCUCCAAAACCUUCCAAAGGAAAUGGAAACUCUCCACAAACCUAUGAAGAAUUUGAAUCAGAAAUGACCAAAAAGAUGGAAGCCUUCUGGGAGGAAAAGUUGGAAAUAAUGCAAAAGAAAUUCACGCAUCUACAAAACCGGUAUGAUGAAACUGAAAAGGAAAACCAGGCUUUAAAGGCCAGAAUCAGGCAGCUGGAAGACAACAAUCGUGUAAAAGAGCAAGAAUUAAUAAAGCAAAGCCAAAAUACCAAGAAAUUAGAAGAGAACAUAAAAUAUCUCACCGACAAGAUGACAGAUCUGGAAAAUAGAGGGAGAAGAGAUAAUUUAAGAAUAAUUGGACUCCCAGAAAAGUCAGAAAUAAACACCAAACUGGACAUGGUGAUACAAGAUAUAAUCAAAGAAAAUUGCCCAGAGAUUCUAGAACAAGGGGGCAAUACAGCCACUGACAGAGCUCACAGAACACCUUCUACACUAAACCCCCAAAAGACUACUCCCAGGAAUGUAAUUGCCAAAUUCCAAAGCUAUCAAACAAAAGAAAAAAUCCUACAGGAAGCCAGAAACUUGAAAGAUCCUUACCUCCCAAGACAUUUCUUCUGCUUCAUCUGAGGACUUGGCAAGUCCCACCCCUAACUCCUAUGGAGUCUGAGCCUUUCCAAGUUGGUGGAUUUCUGAAGAUGCAAUAUGGGAAUAGUGAUAGCAUGGACUCCUCUCUUGGCUGAUGACAUAAGAGAUGACAGAUUAGAAGUGAUAUGUAGAAACUGAAACUUAAAAGCAGUAUAUAACCUUCCUCUUCUGAUUGGUUGAAGAAAAACAUUUUGUAGAUAAAUAGGAUUGAAAAUGUGCUUUACUCUGAC
RNAcentral lists this long non-coding RNA (1022 nucleotides) under Monodelphis domestica (gray short-tailed opossum). RNAcentral's name for it is "lncRNA (ENSMODG00000041480.1)". Lineage: Eukaryota; Metazoa; Chordata; Mammalia; Didelphimorphia; Didelphidae. The record is from RNAcentral.